This 245-nucleotide ribosomal RNA is filed under the name uncultured bacterium. Its description in RNAcentral is "partial 16S ribosomal RNA". It matches the Rfam family "Bacterial small subunit ribosomal RNA", at positions 524 to 768 of the family's 1533-position model. The record is from RNAcentral.
UACGAAGGGAGCUAGCGUUGUUCGGAAUUACUGGGCGUAAAGGGCGCGUAGGCGGCUCGACAAGUCAGGUGUGAAAGCCCUGGGCUCAACCCGGGAAUUGCGCUUGAGACUGCCGAGCUAGAAUUCGGGAGAGGUUGGUGGAAUUCCCAGUGUAGAGGUGAAAUUCGUAGAGAUUGGGAAGAACACCCGUGGCGAAGGCGGCCAACUGGACCGACAUUGACGCUGAGGCGCGAAAGCGUGGGGAG